GAGCACGUAGGUGGGUUUGUAAGUCAGGUGUGAAAGCCUUCUGUUCAAAGGAAGAACGGCAUCUGAAACUGCAGAUCUUGAGUGUAGGAGGGGAGAGUGGAACUUCUGGUGGAGCGGUGAAAUGCGUAGAUAUCAGAAGGAACGUCGGCGGCGAAAGCGACUCUCUGGCCUAUUACUGACACUGAGGUGCGAAAGUUAGGGGAGCAAACGGGAUUAGAUACCUCGGUAGUCCUAACCGUAAACGAUGGGCACUAAGUAGAGGGGUUUU
This 268-nucleotide ribosomal RNA is filed under the name uncultured bacterium. Its description in RNAcentral is "partial 16S ribosomal RNA". It matches the Rfam family "Bacterial small subunit ribosomal RNA", at positions 565 to 832 of the family's 1533-position model. The record is from RNAcentral.